RNAcentral lists this ribosomal RNA (475 nucleotides) under uncultured bacterium. RNAcentral's name for it is "partial 16S ribosomal RNA". It matches the Rfam family "Bacterial small subunit ribosomal RNA", at positions 28 to 523 of the family's 1533-position model. The record is from RNAcentral.
GAUGAACGCUGGCGGCGUGCCUAAUCCAUGCAAGUCGAACGGAGUAUCAGCAAUGGUACUUAGUGGCGAACGGGUGAGUAACGCGUUGGUGACCUGCCCCGAAGCGGGGGAUAACAGACCGAAAGGUUUGCUAAUACCGCAUAAUUUGUCGAGAGUUAGAGCGCUUGACAAGAAAGCCGAAAGGCACUUUGGGAGGGGCCUGCGUCCCAUCAGCUAGUUGGUAAGGUAACGGCUUACCAAGGCGAUGACGGGUAGGGGACCUGAGAGGGUGGGCCCCCACAAUGGAACUGAAACACGGUCCAUACACCUACGGGUGGCAGCAGGAGGGAAUAUUGGUUAAUGUGCGAAAGCGUGAACCAGCAACGCCGCGUGUACGAAGAAGGCCUUCGGGUUGUAAAGUACUUUUCACCGGGAAGGGGAAGGACGGUACCGGUGGAAUAAGUCUCGGCUAACUACGUGCCAGCCGCCGCUGUAA